Molecule: long non-coding RNA, 1077 nt
Filed under: Homo sapiens (human)
Lineage: Eukaryota; Metazoa; Chordata; Mammalia; Primates; Hominidae
Description: non-protein coding lnc-CELF5-1:2
Source: RNAcentral
GUUUUGGUAUUUUUAUUAGAGACGAGGUUUCACCAUGUUGGCCAGGCUGGUCGCGAACUCCUGACCUCAAGUGAUCUGCCCGCCUUGGCCUCUUAAAAUUUUUACUUUUUUUUAGUGAUGAGGUCUGCCUCUGUUGCCCAGGCUGGAGUGCAGUGGUGUCAUCAGCUCACUGGAGGCUCAGCCUCCCUGGGCUCAAGUGAUCCUCCCUCCUCAGCCUUCUGAGUAGCUGGGACUAGGGGUGCGCUCCACACACACAGCUAAUUUUGAAAUUUUUUGUAAAGAUGGGAUCUCUCUAGGUUGCCCAGGCUGAUCUCAAACUCCUGGGCUCUAGCGAUCCUCCUGCUUCAGCCUCCCAAAGUGCUAAAAUUACAACUAUGAGCCACCCUGCUCGGUUUUGUUUUUUUACAUUGUUUAGUGGUAGAAAGAAGUCAAAAGAAUACUUUGUGACACGUGAAAAGUACAUGUGAUUCACAUUUCAGUGUGUGUAAAGUUUGAUUGGCACACAGCCACGUUUAUUCAUGACCAUGCCGUCUAUGGCAGCUUUUGUGCACUAGGGCACAGCCAAGCAGGUGCAAUGGGGAUGAUAUGUCCUGCAAAGAUGAAAAUAUUUACUCUCUGGCUCUUUACAGAAAAAGUUUGCCCACCCCUGAGUUAAUGUAUCAUGAGCACUUUGAACAAUGCUGGGCACAAAAUGUGCUUGGGAUUGUUAUUCAAAAUGUGUUUCAGGUCGGGCGUGGUGGUGUUUCAGGCUGGGCGAGGUGGCUCAUGACUGUAAACCCAACACUUUGGGAAGCCAAGAUGAGAGGAUCGUUUGAGCCCUGGAGUUCAAGACCACCUUGGGCCACAGAGCAGAUACCACCUCCACAAAAAAAUUUUAAAAAAUUAGCCAGUUGUGGUGGUGCACUCCUGUGUAGCCCCAGCUGCUCAGGAGGCUGAGGUAGGAGAUCCCUUGAGCCCAGGAGGACAAGGCUGCAGUGAACUAUUAUUGCACCACUGCACUCCAGCCUGGGUGACAGAGCAAGACCCUGUGUCAAAAAAGAAAUGUACAAAGGUUAAAAAAAUAUAUAUGGUUGGCCG